RNAcentral lists this ribosomal RNA (491 nucleotides) under uncultured bacterium. RNAcentral describes it as "bacterial SSU rRNA". It matches the Rfam family "Bacterial small subunit ribosomal RNA", at positions 25 to 523 of the family's 1533-position model. The record is from RNAcentral.
CAGAGCGAACGUUUGCGGCGGGCUUAACACAUGCAAGUCGAACGAGAAUCCCUUCGGGGAGGAAAGUGGCGCACGGGUGCGUAACACGUGGAUGACCUACCCCUUGGUUCGGGACAACAGCGGGAAACUGCUGCUAAUACCGGAUGUGUCGUAGCAAUACGAGAAAGGCCCGCAAGGGUCGCCAGAGGACGGGUCCGCGUCCCAUCAGCUAGUUGGUGAGGUAAUGGCUCACCAAGGCGAAGACGGGUAGCUGGUCUGAGAGGAUGAUCAGCCACACUGGAACUGAGACACGGUCCAGACUCCUACGGGAGGCAGCAGUGGGGAAUAUUGCGCAAUGGGCGAAAGCCUGACGCAGCCACGCCGCGUGAGCGAUGAAGGUCUUCGGAUCGUAAAGCUCUGUGGGGGGAGAAGAAGAAAGUCGGUGAAGAGCCGGCCCUGACGGUAUCCCCUUAGCAAGCACCGGCUAACUCCGUAGCCAGCAGCCGCGGUAA